UCCUGGCUUGGUGAUAUAUGCCUUUAAUCCUAGCAGUUUCUUUUAUCACUUAUUUAUUUGGUUUUUCAAGACAAGAAUUUGUCUAUCUGUAGUCCUAGCUGUCCUGGAAAUCACUCUGUAAACCAGGCUAGCCUCAAAAUCAGACAUGCUUGCGCAACUCUGCCACCCAAAUUCUGGGAUUAAAGGCGUGGGCCACCAUCGCCUGGCUAAUUCUAGCAUUUAGAAGGCAAAAGCAGGUAGGUCUGAGCUCAAGACCAGCCUGGUCCAACCUAGUGAUUUCCAGGCCAAGACAUCUUUAGGAAACAAGAAACUAAAACCCACACUUGCAUGCUGACCACAAAUAAAUAAAUAAAACCUUAAAAUCAAAGUUAAGGUGAAUGUAAUCAGAACAUAUUAUUAAACAUAUAUAAAGCUGUCAAAAAACAAAUUGAAAAAUACAACAAAGAAAUUACAGGUUGGCUGGCCAAGUCGGUCUAUCCUUCCAGAAAAUAUUCGUGGGUUUCCCAAUGUGGCUAGCGCACAGCAAUUUCUUCCUGGGCCUAUCUGCGGCUCCUGAACCCCUGGCUUGCGGCUCAGGCUCCCCAAGUGGGGAGGGGAAGGGAGGGGGAGUGUAAAACAACUAGGUGCACCAGAGUUUUGUUUGAAACAGGAUCUCAGGCGGUAGCCCAGGCUGCCUUGGCCUUCGGGAUACUGAGACUGUAGGUGCUGCCACGCCUAGUCAGUGCACAUGCUCUAUGUCACAUCCUUUCGGUGUAAGCUCCAUCACCGGUUGUUUGAGGUAGCUGUUAAGUCUAAGGACGCACCUCCGCGAAACUUUGUAACCGCAGAGGUCCAGACAGGGACUCCAAGGGCAAUUAAGCACGCCUGAACCCAGCCCCGAUGGAGUCUUUAAUCGGCUGUGUGACCUUGGACACGCUCCACGCUCUCUCUGGGCUUCAGUUUCCGAAUCCGCACGUUGGAAGGUGAACCACGUGGCCCUCACGGUGCUGCUCAGCGCAGAGCCCGGCAGAGAGCAGACCUCGCCAUUUACGGCGGCUUCCUGUGGGCGCGGCACAGGGCUUUAACGGUCCCCCUCCCCGCACCCUCGCAACCCUCACUUUUAUGGCCCCGCCGCCGGGGACCGCACUACGAGGAGACCACUUGGAGCGGCUCGCGCGCGCCUCCGCCCCGCCCCGGAGGCGUCCCGUCGUGCCCCGCGCUAGACUCUCAGCAGCACGGGGCGACUCCCGCCUUUACGCCCGGCGACCCCGAACUCCUCGCCCCAGGUCUCCCGGCGCCCCGUCCUAUCAACGUCCAGUAUCCCAGCCAAUCGGGCGCGCUGCGAGUCUUACCUUCCGCCCGCCUCCUCCCCGCGCACAGCCGGUGUGAGCCCGAAGGCCUCUACCGGGAC
RNAcentral lists this long non-coding RNA (1390 nucleotides) under Cricetulus griseus (Chinese hamster). Its description in RNAcentral is "lncRNA (ENSCGRG00015038396.1)". The record is from RNAcentral. Lineage: Eukaryota; Metazoa; Chordata; Mammalia; Rodentia; Cricetidae.